UUUAAAAAACGUUGGGACCGUUUGGGCGGAUGUACCUAGGGUUCUUACGAGAUCGUAGUAGUAGCGAUCGAGAGGUAUUUUGUAUAGAUUUCUCGCUCCGCUGCGCGCUCGCUAUGGCGUUUUCUUGCAAGCCAGAUCGCUCCAAGUUUACCAGGUCGCCGGUCGCUCCCAAAAAGAGCCCUUGCCAGGUCGUGCCGCGGCAGGAGGGGGGAGGAUUUGCGCGAAAAUGCAGCAGUCCAGUGUUCACGAGCUCUCCAAUGCGCCCUCCAGUGAGGAGGGGAUUUCCCUUGCCGGUGCCGAAGACGCCAGACCACCAGCACCUCAAGGAAAAUGGUCCUCCUUGUAAGAUCCCUUCUUCUCCGGCUUCUUCGAACAAACAGAGAGCUCUUGCGAAACCACCCUCGCCAAAGAAAAUUCUUGGAGAACACAACGUCGUUGACGCUGCGGUGGUUUCUUCGAAGAGGUGCCGCAAGGAAUGGCAGAUUCCAAGUUCUUCGGGGAUAGAGCUCAAAGAGAGCUUGAGUGGGAUGGAGUCUCCGGCCGAUGCUGCGUGUGCUGUGGAUCAAGUCUCGACGUUUCCGGUGAACGUAGAGGUGCUGGGAGAGCCGGAGCCAGUGGCUGGAUGGGUCCAAGAGCGUCCCACGACUCAUCAUCGAGAGGUGGCGGACUCAAAGGAUUUGGCCAGGAAUCUUUUUGGUGGCGUAGAAACUCCUGGAGAACAUCAAUCUCCUCAGCAUUCGUCCUCGGGGAGCAGCAGCCAUGGCACGAGCGAAGAGGAAGAUUUGGCGAUCGCUUCCUCGAUGAUUUUCGAGAAAGUGGAGCUGGAUGAUUGGAUCGUUCAUGCUCCUGAGGAAGCUCUUGCGGCAGUAACUUCAAUCGAAAGCAACGUAGCAGCGGUGGUGGUGGAAGAAACCAAGACAGUUUCCAACGUUCAUUGUGGAAGGCAAAACAUCUCGAGAAGUAUCAAGUGGAGCGGGGCUCUGGGAUUCCUGGUUCUUUUGUUGUACAUCUCGGCACUGGCAGCUCCACCAAGGCAGAUUUUUCAUGAACUCUGGAGCAGACGAUCAGAAUUUUGCGUGGUUCCUGGCGAGAUAGAGUGGAGCUCCGAGGCAGACACGGUCGGGCUUUAUGUUAAUCCUGCGACAUUGCUGGAACACUGCUCAGUAGCAAAACGCCAGCUUUUGGAGCUUUACGAGAAGUCUUCCGGCAAGCUCGCGGAAGGACUGGGCUUCAAUUCCGUGAGGAUCAUCACCAGCUACUACUCGAGCUUGGUUCUUGGCAACCAUGCAAAGGACGUUCUCUUCAACUCCUGCCGCGAGUUUCAAGGACAGUACUACCGCUUGAGGGUUGCGACAGUAUCGCUUAUUGAACAAGCCAUACCGCUGGAGAGUACAGCUAGAGAUGUGCUCACAGGAUGGAGUUUCGAAGAUAGCUUCUCGAAGGCGCGCCAGUGGUUUACUUCGGUCGAAAGCUAUGCAAAUGAGGCUUUGAUUCACCGCUAUCUUCGUCUUCCAUCCCCGUCUAUUUCCGCUGCUCAUCGCGACGUUCCAUAUUUCGAGAAGCUUAACGAAGAGGCAGACGGUAACACUCACGUAGCGGAAACAGAUCCGGCGUUCGAAAGUGAUGAGGUUUCUAAAGCCAUUGACUGGAUAGGAGACACCAUUUCGGUGUGUCGGUUACCAGAGCAUCGUUCUCCAGUGAACUCAGCGUCGAUGCCAAACGCAGCGGUGAAGCAAGACAUGAUCAACGAAGCUGAUAUGGAGUUGGAAAUUCCCAAUGCUGGAGAAAACUACUUCGAAGAGCAGCAUGACAACAACAACAAGCUUUAUCUUGGAGCAGUUUUAAUCGUCGCAGUUCUGGGCUUGGCUGUUUCCUACCGUCUCCAAUCGCCUGCGAAAGUUCCGGAGAAACCACCAGUGGAAGAGUUCUCAAGCCCGGGUUGCGAGCUAUCAGUUCAAGAUAUAAUGCGGAUGAGAGGAGCUGACGAAGAGCUUAUACUGACGCCGGAGCAGGAGACUGGAGGCUACUCGCCAUACGGGAGUUUUACUGCUUACAAGCGCGUUGUUUACAACGAGGGAUCCGAGAAAGAGGAGGUAAAACUCACACCCGUGAGGCGAUCUAGCAGAAUCCGAAACCAAGUUCCUCGUUUGUUCACGUCAUAGCCUCAACGAGGUAAAGCUUUGAUUAGAAUUCAUCUUGAUGCAGUCAGCAUAUGCAUCACACAGGCUAGGAAAGAAGCAUGUGUGUUUCCGAAACACAUGGAAACAUAGUCUAUAGACUGACUGACUUAGAAUCUUUUUGUUCUAAGCAAAUAGCAAAUUCUUUUUAGCCAUGGGCGAGCGCUUCCUUUACAGGGUUUGCUCCCGAGAGGAGCUCAACGAGGCCAAGCUUGAUGGGCUACUGCGAGGCAACACUCUUGACAAGAAAUCGGGUUUCAUCCAUCUUAGUACCAAGUCUCAGUUUCCAGGUUGCGGGAGUCCUGGCUCUCUUCUUCGCUGGUAGAGACGAUCUAGUGCUCCUGGUUGUCGACCCUCACAAGUUGGCCGAUGAUGGAGUGGUAAAAUACGAUGAGGCCGAGCCUGGCGUGUUCUUUCCACAUUUCUACGGUCCCGCUGGAAACUUUACACCGAUGCCGCUGGCGGCCGUGGUGGAAGAACAUGCUCUCAUGCUCGAGCAAGGCCUCCAUGGCUUGCCUUUCAAGGACUGAGAUGAAAAGAAAGAGUAAAUUUGGUGGCGGUGGAGACAUCAGCUCCGAGCUACCAUCAUGCCUAGUACGUGAUCGUUCUUUC
This is an RNA transcript of Selaginella moellendorffii, 2789 nucleotides long. It is a transcript of the gene named protein kinase PINOID, with no coding region annotated. NCBI's taxonomy places the organism in Eukaryota, Viridiplantae, Streptophyta, Lycopodiopsida, Selaginellales, Selaginellaceae. The record is from RefSeq and is a predicted model, not a curated record. The transcript is spliced from 5 exons.